GAUGAACGCUGGCGGCGUGCCUAAUACAUGCAAGUCGAGCGAACAGAUGGGGAGCUUGCUCCUCUGACGUUAGCGGCGGACGGGUGAGUAACACGUGGAUAACCUACCUAUAAGACUGGGAUAACUUCGGGAAACCGGAGCUAAUACCGGAUAAUAUAUUUAACCGCAUGGUUCAAUAAUGAAAGACGGUUUUGCUGUCACUUAUAGAUGGAUCCGCGCCGCAUUAGCUAGUUGGUAAGGUAACGGCUUACCAAGGCAACGAUGCGUAGCCGACCUGAGAGGGUGAUCGGCCACACUGGAACUGAGACACGGUCCAGACUCCUACGGGAGGCAGCAGUAGGGAAUCUUCCGCAAUGGGCGAAAGCCUGACGGAGCAACGCCGCGUGAGUGAUGAAGGUCUUCGGAUCGUAAAACUCUGUUAUUAGGGAAGGACAAAUGUGUAAGUAACUAUGCACGUCUUGACGGUACCUAAUCAGAAAGCCACGGCUAACUACGUG
This 497-nucleotide ribosomal RNA is filed under the name uncultured bacterium. Its description in RNAcentral is "partial 16S ribosomal RNA". It matches the Rfam family "Bacterial small subunit ribosomal RNA", at positions 28 to 507 of the family's 1533-position model. The record is from RNAcentral.